This 1420-nucleotide ribosomal RNA is filed under the name uncultured Banisveld landfill bacterium BVB66. RNAcentral's name for it is "partial 16S ribosomal RNA". It matches the Rfam family "Bacterial small subunit ribosomal RNA". The record is from RNAcentral.
CACGGAUCCAGACUUUGAUCCUGGCUCAGAACGAACGCUGGCGGCGUGCCUAACACAUGCAAGUCGAACGGGAUUUGAGAGCUUGCUCUUAAAUUUAGUGGCGCACGGGUGAGUAACGCGUAGAUAAUCUGCCUGACGAUCUGGGAUAACACUUCGAAAGAGGUGCUAAUACCGGAUAAGCCCACGGGGUCUUUGGACUCUGCGGGAAAAGGGGGGGACCUUCGGGCCUUCUGUCGUCAGAUGAGUCUGCGUACCAUUAGCUAGUUGGUAGGGUAAUGGCCUACCAAGGCUACGAUGGUUAGCUGGUCUGAGAGGAUGAUCAGCCACACUGGAACUGAGACACGGUCCAGACUCCUACGGGAGGCAGCAGUGGGGAAUUUUGCGCAAUGGGCGAAAGCCUGACGCAGCAACGCCGCGUGAGUGAUGAAGGCUUUCGGGUCGUAAAGCUCUGUCGAGGGGAAAGAAGUGUAUUGGGGCUAAUACUCCGAUACUUGCGGUACCCCUCAAGGUGAGCACCGGCCAACUCCGUGCCAGCAGCCGCGGUAAUACGGGGGGUGCAAGCGUUGUUCGGAAUUAUUGGGCGUAAAGCGCGUGUAGGCGGUCUGAUUAGUCUGAUGUGAAAGCCCUGGGCUCAACCCAGGAAGUGCAUUGGAUACUGUCAGACUUGAAUACGGGAGAGGGUAGUGGAAUUCCUAGUGUAGGAGUGAAAUCCGUAGAUAUUAGGAGGAACACCGGUGGCGAAGGCGGCUACCUGGACCGAUAUUGACGCUGAGACGCGAAAGCGUGGGUAGCAAACAGGAUUAGAUACCCUGGUAGUCCACGCCGUAAACGAUGUCAACUGGUUGUUGGGUCUUCACUGACUCAGUAACGAAGCUAACGCGUGAAGUUGACCGCCUGGGGAGUCGGCCGUCAGGGUUGAAACUCAAAGGAAUUGACGGGGGCCCGCACAAGCGGUGAUGAUGUGGUUUAAUUACGAUGCAACGCGAAAAACCUUACCCACCUUUGACAUGUACGGAAGUCGCUAGAGAUAGCUUCGUGCUCGAAAGAGAGCCGUAACACAGGUGCUGCAUGGCUGUCGUCAGCUCGUGUCGUGAGAUGUUGGGUUAAGUCCCGCAACGAGCGCAACCCUUGUCAUUAGUUGCUACAUUUAGUUGGGCACUCUAAUGAGACUGCCGGUGACAAACCGGAGGAAGGUGGGGAUGACGUCAAGUCCUCAUGGCCCUUAUAGGUGGGGCUACACACGUCAUACAAUGGCUGGUACAAAGGGUUGCCAACCCGCGAGGGGGAGCUAAUCCCACAAAGCCAGUCGUAGUCCGGAUCGUAGUCUGCAACUCGACUACGUGAAGUCGGAAUCGCUAGUAAUCGUGGAUCAGAAUGUCACGGUGAAUACGUUCCCGGGUCUUGUACACACCGAAUCACU